Nanorana parkeri is the source of this 261-nucleotide long non-coding RNA. RefSeq lists it as uncharacterized. The record is from RefSeq and is a predicted model, not a curated record. Lineage: Eukaryota; Metazoa; Chordata; Amphibia; Anura; Dicroglossidae. The transcript is spliced from 3 exons.
CUAGAGAAAAGCAAGACAUAUAUGAAGAUGUUACAGAUUUUAGUUCAUUUAGGAAGUCAAAAUCAACCUCCUUACAACAUGUUGUGAUAUCAGAAAGUAGUGGACAAGAUGACCUGUAUGAUGAUGCUGAAUUGAUUGUAGAGAAAUUUAAACCACCUGUUCAAAAACCAAGCAGUCCAGUGGAGCAGAAUGUUUUAAUUACUAACUGGAGGAAUGACACAAACCUGAAAAAAAAACAAAAACAGGAGCAAGAAUUUAGAA